GACGAAUGCUGGCGGCGUGCUUAACACAUGCCAGUCGAACGAUGAACCUCGAAAUGAUUUCUUCGGAAAGAUUUUUGAGAGGAUUAGUGGCGAACGGGUGAGUAACGCGUGAGCAACCUGCCUUAGACAAGGGGAUAGCCUCGGGAAACCGUGAUUAAUACCCUAUGAGACUCCACUUACGAGUGUAAGAGAAGUUAAAGCUAUUGCGGUCUAAGAUGGGCUCGCGUCUGAUUAGCUAGUUGGUGAGAUAAAAGCCCACCAAGGCGACGAUCAGUAACCGGCUUGAGAGAGUGAACGGUCACAUUGGAACUGAGACACGGUCCAAACUCCUACGGGAGGCAGCAGUGGGGAAUAUUGCACAAUGGGGGCAACCCUGAUGCAGCGACGCCGCGUGAGCGAUGAAGGAAUUCGUUUCGUAAAGCUCUGUCCUUGGAGAAGAUAAUGACGGUAACCAAGGAGGAAGCACCGGCUAAAUACGUG
RNAcentral lists this ribosomal RNA (480 nucleotides) under uncultured bacterium. RNAcentral describes it as "partial 16S ribosomal RNA". It matches the Rfam family "Bacterial small subunit ribosomal RNA", at positions 28 to 507 of the family's 1533-position model. The record is from RNAcentral.